RNAcentral lists this ribosomal RNA (467 nucleotides) under uncultured bacterium. Its description in RNAcentral is "partial 16S ribosomal RNA". It matches the Rfam family "Bacterial small subunit ribosomal RNA", at positions 28 to 507 of the family's 1533-position model. The record is from RNAcentral.
GACGAACGCUGGCGGCGUGCUUAACACAUGCAAGUCGAACGGAAAGGCCUCUUUCGGGGGGUACUCGAGUGGCGAACGGGUGAGUAACACGUGAGUAACCUGCCCUUGACUUUGGGAUAACUUCAGGAAACUGGGGCUAAUACCGGAUAGGAGCUCCUGCUGCAUGGUGGGGGUUGGAAAGUUUCGGCGGUUGGGGAUGGACUCGCGGCUUAUCAGCUUGUUGGUGGGGUAGUGGCUUACCAAGGCCUUGACGGGUAGCCGGCCUGAGAGGGUGACCGGCCACAUUGGGACUGAGAUACGGCCCAGACUCCUACGGGAGGCAGCAGUGGGGAAUAUUGCACAAGGGGUGGAAGCCUGAUGCAGCAACGCCGUGGGCGGGAUGACGGCCUUCGGGUUGUAAACCGCUUUCGCUCAUGACGAAGCUUUGUGUGACGGUAGUGGGUAAAGAAGCACCGGCUAACUACGUG